AUUGAACGCUGGCGGCAGGCCUAACACAUGCAAGUCGAACGAGUGGCGGACGGGUGAGUAAUGUCUGGGAAACUGCCUGAUGGAGGGGGAUAACUACUGGAAACGGUAGCUACUACCGCAUACCAUCGGAUGUGCCCAGAGGGGAUUAGCUAGUAGGUGGGGUAAAGGCUAACCUAGGCGACGAUCCCUAGCUGGUCUGAGAGGAUGACCAGCCACACUGGACCUGAGACACGGUCCAGACUCCUACGGUAGCCAGCAGUGGGGAAUAUUGCACAAUGGGCGCAAGCCGGAUGCAGCCAUGCCGCGUGUAUGAAGAAGGCCUGCGGGUUGUAAAGUACUUUAAGUUGGGAGGCGUUACCAACAGAAUAAGCACCGGCUAACUUCGUGCCAGCAGCCGCGGUAAUUC
This 406-nucleotide ribosomal RNA is filed under the name uncultured bacterium. RNAcentral's name for it is "partial 16S ribosomal RNA". It matches the Rfam family "Bacterial small subunit ribosomal RNA", at positions 30 to 526 of the family's 1533-position model. The record is from RNAcentral.